UAGGGAAUCUUCGUCAAUGGACGGAAGUCUGACCGAGCAACGCCGCGUGAGUGAAGAAGGUUUUCGGAUCGUAAAGCUCUGUUGUAAGAGAAGAACGAGUGUGAGAGUGGAAAGUUCACACUGUGACGGUAUCUUACCAGAAAGGGACGGCUAACUACGUGCCAGCAGCCGCGGUAAUACGUAGGUCCCGAGCGUUGUCCGGAUUUAUUGGGCGUAAAGCGAGCGCAGGCGGUUAGAUAAGUCUGAAGUUAAAGGCUGUGGCUUAACCAUAGUACGCUUUGGAAACUGUUUAACUUGAGUGCAAGAGGGGAGAGUGGAAUUCCAUGUGUAGCGGUGAAAUGCGUAGAUAUAUGGAGGAACACCGGUGGCGAAAGCGGCUCUCUGGCUUGUAACUGACGCUGAGGCUCGAAAGCGUGGGGAGCAAACAGGAUUAGAUACCCUGGUAGUCCACGCCGUAAACGAUGAGUGCUAGGUGUUAGACCCUUUCCGGGGUUUAGUGCCGCAGCUAACGCAUUAAGCACUCCGCCUGGGGAGUACGACCGCAAGGUUG
This 550-nucleotide ribosomal RNA is filed under the name uncultured bacterium. RNAcentral's name for it is "bacterial SSU rRNA". It matches the Rfam family "Bacterial small subunit ribosomal RNA", at positions 355 to 896 of the family's 1533-position model. The record is from RNAcentral.